RNAcentral lists this RNase P RNA (407 nucleotides) under Chlorobium sp. N1. Its description in RNAcentral is "RNase P RNA component class A". It matches the Rfam family "Bacterial RNase P class A". Rfam says of the family: Ribonuclease P (RNase P) is a ubiquitous endoribonuclease, found in archaea, bacteria and eukarya as well as chloroplasts and mitochondria. Its best characterised activity is the generation of mature 5'-ends of tRNAs by cleaving the 5'-leader elements of precursor-tRNAs. The record is from RNAcentral. Lineage: Bacteria; Pseudomonadati; Chlorobiota; Chlorobiia; Chlorobiales; Chlorobiaceae.
AAACCGCAAGUGUGCAGCCGCUGUGCGCCCCCCGGGGCGCGCAGAGGAAAGUCCGAACUUCACAGGGCAGGGUGCCGGUCGAGAUGCCCGAAAGGGGAUCAAGCCCGGGUAUGGCGGCGCAAGCCGUCCAUAACAGAGAGCGCAGCAGAAAGCAGACCGCUCCGGGUGACCGGAGUAAGGGUGAAACGGCGGUGUAAGAGACCACCAGUCGUUCCGGCAACGGGACGAGCUAUGCAAACCUCCCCGAAGCAAGGCCGAAUAGGAAAGCUUUUCCCGCAAGGGAAAGAGGGCGGCCCGCCCGAUUCCGCAAGGAGAGUUUUCGGGUAGGCCGCAUUAGAUAAAUGGCUGCAGUUUUGCCCGGCCUGCCGGGUAAUCCACAGAAUUCGGCUUACAUCUUCGGUUUCGGC